UAUACCCUGGUAGUCCAUGCCGUAAACGUUGGGCACUAGGUGUGGGGGACAUUCCACGUUUUCCGCGCCGUAGCUAACGCAUUAAGUGCCCCGCCUGGGGAGUACGGCCGCAAGGCUAAAACUCAAAGGAAUUGACGGGGGCCCGCACAAGCGGCGGAGCAUGCGGAUUAAUUCGAUGCAACGCGAAGAACCUUACCAAGGCUUGACAUGAACCGGACCGCCGCAGAAAUGUGGUUUCCCCUUUGGGGCUGGUUUACAGGUGGUGCAUGGUUGUCGUCAGCUCGUGUCGUGAGAUGUUGGGUUAAGUCCCGCAACGAGCGCAACCCUCGUUCUAUGUUGCCAGCACGUGAUGGUGGGGACUCAUAGGAGACUGCCGGGGUCAACUCGGAGGAAGGUGGGGACGACGUCAAAUCAUCAUGCCCCUUAUGUCUUGGGCUUCACGCAUGCUACAAUGGCCGGUACAAAGGGUUGCGAUACUGUGAGGUGGAGCUAAUCCCAAAAAGCCGGUCUCAGUUCGGAUUGGGGUCUGCAACUCGACCCCAUGAAGUCGGAGUCGCUAGUAAUCGCAGAUCAGCAACGCUGCGGUGAAUACGUUCCCGGGCCUUGUACACACCGCCCGUCAAGUCACGAAAGUUGGUAACACCCGAAGCCGGUGGCCUAACCCCUU
This 667-nucleotide ribosomal RNA is filed under the name Arthrobacter sp. PLB070. RNAcentral's name for it is "bacterial SSU rRNA". It matches the Rfam family "Bacterial small subunit ribosomal RNA", at positions 781 to 1444 of the family's 1533-position model. Lineage: Bacteria; Bacillati; Actinomycetota; Actinomycetes; Micrococcales; Micrococcaceae. The record is from RNAcentral.